UACAGAGGGUGCAAACGUUGUUCGGAAUUACUGGGCGUAAAGCGCGUGUAGGCGGCCCGGCAAGUCGGAUGUGAAAUCCCUCGGCUCAACCGAGGAACUGCGUCCGAUACUGGUGGGCUUGAAUCCGGGAGAGGGAUGUGGAAUUCCAGGUGUAGCGGUGAAAUGCGUAGAUAUCUGGAGGAACACCGGUGGCGAAGGCGGCAUCCUGGACCGGUAUUGACGCUGAGGCGCGAAAGCUAGGGGAGCAAACGGG
This 253-nucleotide ribosomal RNA is filed under the name uncultured bacterium. Its description in RNAcentral is "partial 16S ribosomal RNA". It matches the Rfam family "Bacterial small subunit ribosomal RNA", at positions 524 to 776 of the family's 1533-position model. The record is from RNAcentral.